This 82-nucleotide transfer RNA is filed under the name Enterococcus sp. RNAcentral's name for it is "tRNA-Leu". It matches the Rfam family "tRNA". Rfam says of the family: Transfer RNA (tRNA) molecules are approximately 80 nucleotides in length. Their secondary structure includes four short double-helical elements and three loops (D, anti-codon, and T loops). Lineage: Bacteria; Bacillati; Bacillota; Bacilli; Lactobacillales; Enterococcaceae. The record is from RNAcentral.
GCAAGUGUGUUGAAAUUGGUAGACAAGCUCGUUUUAGGUACGAGUGGCUAACGCUGUAUGAGUUCAAGUCUCAUCACUUGUA